AGGUCAUUUUGUAGGGCUUGUGGGCUGUGAAACCAAGAGCUCUUAACGCUAUGACCAAAUAUUGAAGUCUUCCACAGGAUGUGAUGGCCACUAGGAAACAAGACU
RNAcentral lists this small nucleolar RNA (105 nucleotides) under Homo sapiens (human). RNAcentral describes it as "snoRNA (ENSG00000251744.1)". The record is from RNAcentral. Lineage: Eukaryota; Metazoa; Chordata; Mammalia; Primates; Hominidae.